Molecule: long non-coding RNA, 121 nt
Organism: Etheostoma cragini (Arkansas darter)
Lineage: Eukaryota; Metazoa; Chordata; Actinopteri; Perciformes; Percidae
Exons: 3
Source: RefSeq, a predicted model, not a curated record
AAAAAGUCCACCCCAAAGGGACUUACCAUCGCCAACAGAAAACACUGUUCACAAACUGCUCCAAACAGCUCUAUUGUAGUCCACGCAUUACUUCCGUGAUGAACGUGCCUCACCUUGUAAC